Molecule: ribosomal RNA, 636 nt
Filed under: uncultured Pseudoalteromonas sp.
Lineage: Bacteria; Pseudomonadati; Pseudomonadota; Gammaproteobacteria; Alteromonadales; Pseudoalteromonadaceae
Description: bacterial SSU rRNA
Rfam family: Bacterial small subunit ribosomal RNA
Source: RNAcentral
UGGCGUCGAGCGGCGGACGGGUGAGUAAUGCUUGGGAAUAUGCCUUAUGGUGGGGGACAACAGUUGGAAACGACUGCUAAUACCGCAUGAUGUCUACGGACCAAAGUGGGGGACCUUCGGGCCUCACGCCAUAAGAUUAGCCCAAGUGGGAUUAGCUAGUUGGUGAGGUAAUGGCUCACCAAGGCGACGAUCCCUAGCUGGUUUGAGAGGAUGAUCAGCCACACUGGGACUGAGACACGGCCCAGACUCCUACGGGAGGCAGCAGUGGGGAAUAUUGCACAAUGGGCGCAAGCCUGAUGCAGCCAUGCCGCGUGUGUGAAGAAGGCCUUCGGGUUGUAAAGCACUUUCAGUAAGGAGGAAAGGUUAGGUGUUAAUAGCACUUAGCUGUGACGUUACUUACAGAAGAAGCACCGGCUAACUCCGUGCCAGCAGCCGCGGUAAUACGGAGGGUGCGAGCGUUAAUCGGAAUUACUGGGCGUAAAGCGUACGCAGGCGGUUUGUUAAGCGAGAUGUGAAAGCCCCGGGCUCAACCUGGGAACUGCAUUUCGAACUGGCAAACUAGAGUGUGAUAGAGGGUGGUAGAGUUUCAGGUGUAGCGGUGAAAUGCGUAGAGAUCUGAAGGAAUACCGAUGGCGA